Molecule: ribosomal RNA, 534 nt
Filed under: Triticum aestivum (bread wheat)
Lineage: Eukaryota; Viridiplantae; Streptophyta; Magnoliopsida; Poales; Poaceae
Description: partial small subunit ribosomal RNA
Source: RNAcentral
AUGGCGGCCUUGCUUCGGUUUGCAGCGAGGAAGGUCUGCAGCCGCGCCAGCCUUGAGCGACUACCGCAGGUCAGCUUCACUGCGACCACGUCGCUUGCCGUCGUAAAGGAGCUGGAACAGCAGCGGACGCUGCCCUGGACGAUUCUUUUCCAUGGCCGGGUGAGCUCGCUUCGCUGGUUCAGCAGCUCCUCCGAAUCACCAGACAAGAUCCUUGCGGCACAAGUGGAGGACAAGAAACAAGAGUUGCGCCGUCUGCUUCGUCGGCUGGAUGAGCUCCGCACCGAGAAAUGCGCCAUCGCCGCCAGGGAGAAGGAGAAAAAAGUUUCCGAGAAAAAGAAACACAAGGAAAAUAAGAAGCUCCUCCACCUGCUUUCAUUGGGCGACCCACUGUAUCAGCUGUCUCGUCAGGUUCCAAUCGUGGGUACCCUGCUUAUCAUGAGCUUGGUAAUCCUUGUCAUUUUACUUGUGUGUGAGGAGGAUUAUAGGGCUUCAAAAAAGCGUGGGCAGACACCUCGGCACCUACCAUCUACCUAA